UUGGGGUUUAAAGUAGUACGUAGGUGGUUUUGUUUAAGCCAGCUGUGAAAUCCCCCGGGGCCGUCAACCUGGGGCACUGCAGUUGGAACUGGCAAGCUAGAGUAGGGUAGAGGGGUGUGGAAUUCCAGGUGUAGCGGUGAAAAUGCGUAGAUAUCUGGAGGAACAUCAGUGGCGAAGGCGACACCCCUGGACUCAUACUGACACUGAGGUACGAAAAGCGUGGGGAGCAAAACAGGAUUAGAUACCCCGAGUA
This 253-nucleotide ribosomal RNA is filed under the name uncultured Pseudomonadota bacterium. Its description in RNAcentral is "uncultured proteobacterium partial 16S ribosomal RNA". It matches the Rfam family "Bacterial small subunit ribosomal RNA", at positions 556 to 792 of the family's 1533-position model. Lineage: Bacteria; Pseudomonadati; Pseudomonadota. The record is from RNAcentral.